UCGAAGAGUUAUUAUGAAAAUAUUUAUUUAAAUAUUUUUAAACAAAUAAUAACGUCAAACUUGUUCAUAUAACAAAUGUAUAUACGGUGGCUUUUUAAAUUUUUUAUUUUAAAAGUGUCAA
This 121-nucleotide small RNA is filed under the name Plasmodium berghei ANKA. RNAcentral's name for it is "Plasmodium berghei sRNA PBANKA_0315420". It matches the Rfam family "Plasmodium RNA of unknown function RUF2", at positions 14 to 134 of the family's 154-position model. The record is from RNAcentral. Lineage: Eukaryota; Apicomplexa; Aconoidasida; Haemosporida; Plasmodiidae.